RNAcentral lists this RNase P RNA (322 nucleotides) under Flavobacterium sp. RNAcentral describes it as "RNase P RNA component class A". It matches the Rfam family "Bacterial RNase P class A". From Rfam's summary of the family: Ribonuclease P (RNase P) is a ubiquitous endoribonuclease, found in archaea, bacteria and eukarya as well as chloroplasts and mitochondria. RNAcentral also lists the same sequence under 1 other name. Lineage: Bacteria; Pseudomonadati; Bacteroidota; Flavobacteriia; Flavobacteriales; Flavobacteriaceae. The record is from RNAcentral.
GCUGCAGACCGCCUUAUCGUCGUUCCGAUUCUUCGGAAGGGAGGAAAGUCCGGACACCACAGAGUAGCAUAGCGGGUAACACCCGUCAGUUCCGAUUCGUCGGGAUUAGGACAAGUGCAACAGAAAGUAUGUACAGGUAAUGCUGUAGUGAAACCAGGUAAACUCUAUGCGGUGAAAUGCCAUGUAUAUCAACAUUUAAGGGCUGCUCGUCCGUUGUUGAGGGGUAGGCAGAUGGAUCCCGACAGUAAUGUCGGGGCUAGAUAAAUGAUAAGGGUUCCGAUGUAUCGGAAUACAGAAUCCGGCUUACAGGUCUGCUUUUUUU